GCCUGCCUGUUCCUGAUACUCUUUGUUUUACCAUGUGGCCAUCAGUCCACAAGGAGACAAACCACUGCAGUCAAUCUGUUCCAUGUGAGUGUUCCACGUUCUGUCCAGAGCUGGCUGCUUAAAACAGGACACUCGGGGAUGGAAACUACAGGUUGGGGUAAUCUCUGCUAUCCUACACCUCUCUGCUGAUCACUUCCUUCAACAUCCCAAAGGAGUUAUUUGGAAACUCAAUGACUCUUCAAAUGCAACAGCAUGAAGACUAUGUCAGCUGCCAAGAAAUGUCAUCUUCCUCUGCAGCUUCUCCAGCAAAAAGAUAAGUAAUAUCAGGCUGUUCCAAGUAUUGAAAGCACACACUCUUAAAUUAUUCUUUCUAUGUGUAUGUAACAUCUCAUUUAGAGAAACUAUGUGGAAGACUGCAGACCCAUCUUUCUUAGCUGUUCCUUCCCUCUGUGAGGCUAACUAGAAUAACCUACCUGGUGGCUGGAAAUUCUCAGUCUUCACUAGGCAGAUCAAUAGAAGCUCUGGUGAAGGACAGAGUUUGACAGGAGCUGGGGUGAUAGUUAUGUACAGAUCUGUUGGCCAUGGUCAUGCUUUGCAAGGCUUCUUGGAGCUCUUUUGAUACAGCACCAAGCACAUCAAUAAGAUGACUGAGUCUGCUAAAACUGUUUUCAAAAAACAAACCCUCUCCAAGAGCUUUUAAGGCAUUGGUGAGGCAAGAGGAAAGACCGUGGCAUUGAUUAGUAGCUGCCUGAAAGAUAAACAGAUGAACACAUUGGUUGGAGAUGAAGAGGGAGAAAGUGUGCAGAUAAUAUCACCUAUUCAAGGUACUAAUGGGGGCUCUGGUAUGCAGCUUAGGCUCACAGAGGGGUUUUACAAGACCCAGAUAACGAUGAAA
Molecule: long non-coding RNA, 895 nt
Organism: Pogoniulus pusillus (Red-fronted tinkerbird)
Lineage: Eukaryota; Metazoa; Chordata; Aves; Piciformes; Lybiidae
Exons: 3
Source: RefSeq, a predicted model, not a curated record